UUCCAUAUUCCAAAAAACUCAACAAGUUACUAAAAAAAAUAAUAGUAAAAAAUUAGUUCAUUUUCUACAUCAAUGGAUACGAUGAAAUCUUUCAAAGGCUAUGGCAAAGUGGACGAGUUGGAAGAAGAAGCUUUCAGGAAGAAAACCCGCAAGCGUCUAAUCAUCUUAAUCGUCUCUGCCGUUCUUCUCCUUAUUGCAGUUGUAGGCAUAGUUGUUGGAACUGUUGUUCACAAAAACAACGAUUCGAAACAACCCUCUUCUACUGCUCAAUCUCUGCAAGUUCUCUGUAGCUUAACUGAGUACAAAGAUUCGUGCUUAUCAAGCUUAUCAUCCUCAAAUGUCACUGAUCCAGAAACGUUGUUCGUACUUUCUUUGAAAAUCGCCAUGGAUGCGGUCAAAAAAUUGUCUUCUGGACCACAGAAUUGGGCGAAAUUGACUAAAGAACCCAAAGUACAAAAGGCAUUGGAAGUCUGCGAGACUGUAUUCGACGAUGCAAUUGAUAAACUUGACGACUCUGUUUCGUCAGUGCAAGUGAACGGAGGCGCAAAACUGCUUUCAG
RNAcentral lists this unclassified non-coding RNA (559 nucleotides) under Hevea brasiliensis (rubber tree). The record is from RNAcentral. Lineage: Eukaryota; Viridiplantae; Streptophyta; Magnoliopsida; Malpighiales; Euphorbiaceae.